Falco peregrinus (peregrine falcon) is the source of this 771-nucleotide long non-coding RNA. RefSeq lists it as uncharacterized. The record is from RefSeq and is a predicted model, not a curated record. NCBI's taxonomy places the organism in Eukaryota, Metazoa, Chordata, Aves, Falconiformes, Falconidae. The transcript is spliced from 3 exons.
GCUCAACUGCCUCUUCCGGUUUCGGCUCAGUUACAACAGACCCCCGAGGAGUAACUUCCUGUUUGUCCGCUGUCUUAUCUAAAAGCUCCUAUACUGUUGAACACGCAGGGGCGGACAUACCCUUCAUAGGAUGAGUAUGCCCAACUCCGAAAAAUGUAGCCAAGAGAGAAGGCUUUGAUAGGAUGUCAGUGGAGAGCCCUGCCGCGAUUUACUCUACGCGGUCUUACCGCUGGCGGGGGUGCAAUCUGCAGCUCUACACCGAACUCUGGACUCCACUUUUCGCCUUCCAGGUUUCGCCCGCCUCCGACCUCCAGCUCCCUAAUCGGACAACGUCCCUUCGGGUCCGAUGCACGGAGACUGCCGCAUUUAAGCGAACCACAUUUAAGCGACUAAAUGGAUCCCUGUUCGGGCACCAGACGAAAAGGGUCCCCCGUGGAGAGUCAGCCAAGUCACGACAAUCACACCAAUAUGGCUACAUGCCGUGCUCACUUUAUUAAACAAACAGGUCAUAUUUAUAACUUAAACCGACCACUCACCCGACUUUACACACAGUUAUUCCAUGACAUAAUCUGAUGCCAUGACUUGGAUUCACACAUCUUGCUUCACCUGGGAGGACUGCAGACUGCUCCCUGCCAAAACCCCUUGGUGCCACUCAGAAAGGUGCGGGACCUUUCGACAUACCCAUUGGCUUGUUGAAAUGGUGUGCAAAUUAGAAGGAGCGAUCCCCCUUGUACCUGGCACUGCAAUAAACAUACUUGAUUUAUAACUCUC